AGGUUUCUCCCUCCUUAUCUCUAGGUUAGAGUGUAGAUACCUCCUUUUGGUUUGUUUUCGCAGAUCCUUAGAACUAAUGGUGAGGGUUAUGGUUUGCGAUCUACGUUGUGUAUUUCAUUAUGUGUUUAUGUAGGUUCAGCUCUGUAAGCAACAGUUGAAGAAUGGUAACUCGAGGGUCUUGGUGUCGGCGUUAAAUGGUAGUUGUCAGUCCCCUAAGGCU
This 220-nucleotide unclassified non-coding RNA is filed under the name Hevea brasiliensis (rubber tree). Lineage: Eukaryota; Viridiplantae; Streptophyta; Magnoliopsida; Malpighiales; Euphorbiaceae. The record is from RNAcentral.